AGAGUUUGAUCCUGGCUCAGAGCGAACGCUGGCGGCAGGCCUAACACAUGCAAGUCGAACGAACUCUUCGGAGUUAGUGGCGGACGGGUGAGUAACACGUGGGAACGUGCCUUUAGGUUCGGAAUAACUCAGGGAAACUUGUGCUAAUACCGAAUGUGCCCUUCGGGGGAAAGAUUUAUCGCCUUUAGAGCGGCCCGCGUCUGAUUAGCUAGUUGGUGAGGUAAAGGCUCACCAAGGCGACGAUCAGUAGCUGGUCUGAGAGGAUGAUCAGCCACAUUGGGACUGAGACACGGCCCAAACUCCUACGGGAGGCAGCAGUGGGGAAUCUUGCGCAAUGGGCGAAAGCCUGACGCAGCCAUGCCGCGUGAAUGAUGAAGGUCUUAGGAUUGUAAAAUUCUUUCACCGGGGACGAUAAUGACGGUACCCGGAGAAGAAGCCCCGGCUAACUUCGUGCCAGCAGCCGCGGUAAUACGAAGGGGGCUAGCGUUGCUCGGAAUUACUGGGCGUAAAGGGAGCGU
This 518-nucleotide ribosomal RNA is filed under the name uncultured Terriglobales bacterium. RNAcentral describes it as "bacterial SSU rRNA". It matches the Rfam family "Bacterial small subunit ribosomal RNA", at positions 8 to 572 of the family's 1533-position model. The record is from RNAcentral. Lineage: Bacteria; Pseudomonadati; Acidobacteriota; Terriglobia; Terriglobales.